GUAGGGAAUCUUGCGCAAUGGGCGAAAGCCUGACGCAGCCAUGCCGCGUGAAUGAUGAAGGUCUUAGGAUUGUAAAAUUCUUUCACCGGGGACGAUAAUGACGGUACCUGGAGAAGAAGCCCCGGCUAACUUCGUGCCAGCAGCCGUGGUAAUACGAAGGGGGCUAGCGUUGCUCGGAAUUACUGGGCGUAAAGGGAGCGUAGGCGGAUAGUUUAGUCAGAGGUGAAAGCCCAGGGCUCAACCUUGGAAUUGCCUUUGAUACUGGCUAUCUUGAGUAUGGAAGAGGUAUGUGGAACUCCGAGUGUAGAGGUGAAAUUCGUAGAUAUUCGGAAGAACACCAGUGGCGAAGGCGACAUACUGGUCCAUUACUGACGCUGAGGCUCGAAAGCGUGGGGAGCAAACAGGAUUAGAUACCCGUGUAGUCC
This 425-nucleotide ribosomal RNA is filed under the name uncultured bacterium. RNAcentral describes it as "partial 16S ribosomal RNA". It matches the Rfam family "Bacterial small subunit ribosomal RNA", at positions 354 to 796 of the family's 1533-position model. The record is from RNAcentral.